This 89-nucleotide ribosomal RNA is filed under the name Bifidobacterium breve. RNAcentral's name for it is "partial 16S ribosomal RNA". It matches the Rfam family "Bacterial small subunit ribosomal RNA", at positions 1445 to 1533 of the family's 1533-position model. Lineage: Bacteria; Bacillati; Actinomycetota; Actinomycetes; Bifidobacteriales; Bifidobacteriaceae. The record is from RNAcentral.
GGAGGGAGCCGUCUAAGGUGAGGCUCGUGAUUGGGACUAAGUCGUAACAAGGUAGCCGUACCGGAAGGUGCGGCUGGAUCACCUCCUUU